RNAcentral lists this transfer RNA (77 nucleotides) under Acidimicrobiaceae bacterium. RNAcentral describes it as "tRNA-Ile". It matches the Rfam family "tRNA". From Rfam's summary of the family: Transfer RNA (tRNA) molecules are approximately 80 nucleotides in length. Their secondary structure includes four short double-helical elements and three loops (D, anti-codon, and T loops). Lineage: Bacteria; Bacillati; Actinomycetota; Acidimicrobiia; Acidimicrobiales; Acidimicrobiaceae. The record is from RNAcentral.
GGGCCUGUAGCUCAGCCGGUUAGAGCAGGGGACUCAUAAUCCCUUGGUCGUGGGUUCGAGUCCCACCGGGCCCACCA